RNAcentral lists this long non-coding RNA (570 nucleotides) under Zonotrichia albicollis (white-throated sparrow). RNAcentral's name for it is "lncRNA (ENSZALG00000005717.1)". The record is from RNAcentral. Lineage: Eukaryota; Metazoa; Chordata; Aves; Passeriformes; Passerellidae.
GAUUGCCCAGUUUGUAAAACAAUCUGUGUGCACCUUUUUCCUCAAUAGUUGUGCUUAUAAGGCAAGCUCGGACUUAAGACUUGGGUUGUGCCAGUCAGACUGCCUGAACAGAAGAAACAACAUGAAGUUCACCAAGAUGUGGAAGCCACGGUGAAAAGAGGUCCUGAACAAGCCUGAACUUCUCUGCAGCCAUAAAGAGGUGUAAUACAACAGGUAGAUGUGUCUGAACUAAAGAAAGUACCUUGGAUAUUGUACUGGAGUAACAGCCAUGUGAACUUCAAUUUGCAGUUGUUACUCAGUAAUUGGAAGAAGCAUUAAGGGGACAGUCCUGGUUGUAGCUGGUAAAGACACAAGGAAGUUCCAAAGGCGUCAUUAUGGAUGUGGAACCCAGCGUGCUCCGUCCUGCAAGAUCUCAGCAUCAUUUUCGUUUCACCUCCUGCCUGAGUGGCACAGAUUUUACAGAAAGGCAAAAUGUGGUCCCAGUCCUGCAUGUGGAAAUAUCUGGCAUGACUUCCUUCACUGUUGUAAUCUGAGGAGUUGCUUCUGGAUCUCUAUUAUAAAUUAAGGUAC